CGGGUGAGUAACACGUAUCCAACCUGCCGAUGACUCGGGGAUAGCCUUUCGAAAGAAAGAUUAAUACCCGAUGGCAUAGUUCUUCCGCAUGGUAGAACUAUUAAAGAAUUUCGGUCAUCGAUGGGGAUGCGUUCCAUUAGGUUGUUGGCGGGGUAACGGCCCACCAAGCCUUCGAUGGAUAGGGGUUCUGAGAGGAAGGUCCCCCACAUUGGAACUGAGACACGGUCCAAACUCCUACGGGAGGCAGCAGUGAGGAAUAUUGGUCAAUGGACGAGAGUCUGAACCAGCCAAGUAGCGUGAAGGAUGACUGCCCUAUGGGUUGUAAACUUCUUUUAUACGGGAAUAAAGUGAGGCACGCGUGCCUUUUUGUAUGUACCGUAUGAAUAAGGAUCGGCUAACUCCGUGCCAGCAGCCGCGGUAAUACGGAGGAUCCGAGCGUUAUCCGGAUUUAUUGGGUUUAAAGGGAGCGUAGGCGGACGCUUAAGUCAGUUGUGAAAGUUUGCGGCUCAACCGUAAAAUUGCAGUUGAUACUGGGUGUCUUGAGUACAGUAGAGGCAGGCGGAAUUCGUGGUGUAGCGGUGAAAUGCUUAGAUAUCACGAAGAACUCCGAUUGCGAAGGCAGCCUGCUGGACUGUAACUGACGCUGAUGCUCGAAAGUGUGGGUAUCAAACAGGAUUAGAUACCCUGGUAGUCCACACAGUAAACGAUGAAUACUCGCUGUUUGCGAUAUACAGUAAGCGGCCAAGCGAAAGCGUUAAGUAUUCCACCUGGGGAGUA
This 777-nucleotide ribosomal RNA is filed under the name uncultured bacterium. RNAcentral's name for it is "bacterial SSU rRNA". It matches the Rfam family "Bacterial small subunit ribosomal RNA", at positions 103 to 882 of the family's 1533-position model. The record is from RNAcentral.